This 253-nucleotide ribosomal RNA is filed under the name uncultured bacterium. RNAcentral's name for it is "partial 16S ribosomal RNA". It matches the Rfam family "Bacterial small subunit ribosomal RNA", at positions 524 to 776 of the family's 1533-position model. The record is from RNAcentral.
UACAGAGGUCCCAAGCGUUGUUCGGAUUCACUGGGCGUAAAGGGUGCGUAGGUGGUAGGGUAAGUUUGAGGUGAAAGCUCCGGGCUUAACCCGGAAAUGGCCUUAAAUACUAUUCCGCUCGAGGGUUGGCGGGGAGACUGGAAUUCUCGGUGUAGCAGUGAAAUGCGUAGAUAUCGAGAGGAACACCAGUGGCGAAGGCGAGUCUCUAGACAACACCUGACACUGAGGCACGAAAGCCAGGGGAGCAAACGGG